UCGCGGGUGACCGCGAAUCUGAAGGAAGCCCGAGGCAAAAUGCUGGCCUGACGUACAGGAAGCGGAUAGAGGCGUCGUAGUGGGGUGAGGUCGCAAUGACAGCCAAAGCCCAAUACGAAACAGCCCGUGUCCAUGUGGUAGCGGGUCACCGUUGGUGCGUGGAAC
RNAcentral lists this non-coding RNA (165 nucleotides) under Pseudomonas borbori. Lineage: Bacteria; Pseudomonadati; Pseudomonadota; Gammaproteobacteria; Pseudomonadales; Pseudomonadaceae. The record is from RNAcentral.